RNAcentral lists this transfer RNA (73 nucleotides) under Felis catus (domestic cat). It matches the Rfam family "tRNA". From Rfam's summary of the family: Transfer RNA (tRNA) molecules are approximately 80 nucleotides in length. Their secondary structure includes four short double-helical elements and three loops (D, anti-codon, and T loops). Further hydrogen bonds mediate the characteristic L-shaped molecular structure. tRNAs have two regions of fundamental functional importance: the anti-codon, which is responsible for specific mRNA codon recognition, and the 3' end, to which the tRNAs corresponding amino acid is attached (by aminoacyl-tRNA synthetases). tRNAs cope with the degeneracy of the genetic code in two manners: having more than one tRNA (with a specific anti-codon) for a particular amino acid; and 'wobble' base-pairing, i.e. permitting non-standard base-pairing at the 3rd anti-codon position. The record is from Rfam by way of RNAcentral. RNAcentral also lists the same sequence under 4 other names. Lineage: Eukaryota; Metazoa; Chordata; Mammalia; Carnivora; Felidae.
GCCUGGGUGGCUCAGUCAGUAGAGCAUGAGACUCUUGAUCUCAGGGUCAUAAGUUCAAGCCCCAUGUUGGGCA